CACGUCAGAGCGCUUUGCUGACGUGGCAACAAAUCGCGCUCUGAAGGCCGCGCUUUGUUGCCACGUCAUCAAAGCGCGCUGACGUGG
This is a non-coding RNA of Gossypium raimondii (Peruvian cotton), 87 nucleotides long. The record is from Rfam. Lineage: Eukaryota; Viridiplantae; Streptophyta; Magnoliopsida; Malvales; Malvaceae.